UCGGGAAUUUUGGGCAAUGGGCGAAAGCCUGACCCAGCAACGCCGCGUGAGGGAUGAAGUAUUUCGGUAUGUAAACCUCGAAAGAAUGGGAAGAAUAAAUGACGGUACCAUUUAUAAGCUCCGGCUAACUACGUGCCAGCAGCCGCGGUAAUACGUAGGGAGCAAGCGUUGUUCGGAUUUACUGGGCGUAAAGGGCGCGUAGGCGGCGCGGUAAGUCACUUGUGAAAUCUCUGAGCUUAACUCAGAACGGCCAAGUGAUACUGCUGUGCUAGAGUGCGGAAGAGGCAACCGGAAUUCUUGGUGUAGCAGUGAAAUGCGUAGAUAUCAAGAGGAACACCUGAGGCGAAGGCGGGUUGCUGAGCCGACACUGACGCUGAUGCGCGAAAGCCAGGGGAGCAAACG
RNAcentral lists this ribosomal RNA (402 nucleotides) under uncultured bacterium. RNAcentral's name for it is "bacterial SSU rRNA". It matches the Rfam family "Bacterial small subunit ribosomal RNA", at positions 355 to 774 of the family's 1533-position model. The record is from RNAcentral.